Molecule: ribosomal RNA, 494 nt
Filed under: uncultured bacterium
Lineage: Bacteria
Description: partial 16S ribosomal RNA
Rfam family: Bacterial small subunit ribosomal RNA
Source: RNAcentral
GACGAACGCUGGCGGCGUGCUUAACACAUGCAAGUCGAACGGAAAGGCCUGCUUUCCCUUGUGGAUUGCGGGUACUCGAGUGGCGAACGGGUGAGUAACACGUGAGUGAUCUGCCCCCAACUUGGGUAUAAGCCUGGGAAACUGGGUCUAAUUCCCGAUAGGACUGCAGGGUGGUGCCUGUGGUGGAAAACGAUUUUCUAGUGGUUGGGGAUGAGCUCGCGGCCUAUCAGCUUGUUGGUGGGGUAAUGGCCUACCAAGGCGGCGACGGGUAGCCGGCCUGAGAGGGUGGACGGCCACAUUGGGACUGAGAUACGGCCCAGACUCCUACGGGAGGCAGCAGUGGGGAAUAGUGCACAAUGGGCGGAAGCCUGAUGCAGCGACGCUGCGUGGGGGAUGACGGCCUUCGGGUUGUAAACUCCUUUCGACCGCGAGGAAGCCACCUGGUUGGAAGGGUGGUGACGGUAGUGGUAGAAGAAGCACCGGCUAACUACGUG